Molecule: long non-coding RNA, 2234 nt
Organism: Siniperca chuatsi (mandarin fish)
Lineage: Eukaryota; Metazoa; Chordata; Actinopteri; Centrarchiformes; Sinipercidae
Exons: 3
Source: RefSeq, a predicted model, not a curated record
GUGAGACAAUGUUUAUGGUCGAUCUUAAAUGAAACAUGGACUUAAAUAAUAGAAACUGUACGCGAAAGGCUGGCAUCAAAGUUGACUUGUGUUUAAUUGCGGAGCAUACAUCUGACUCACAAGAUGCAUGUGUUUGGAGUUUCGUUUAGCUUCACAGUAAAAGCCUACUACGGAGCCCGGAAGGGGACAUAGACGUAUUUUUGUACAACUCGCACGCGCAUUAUACUAAAGCGCGCGCGCGUUUUAUUUAAAAAAAAUCGUCCAUGUCCCCUCCCGGACUCCAUAGCCUACAUUAGGGCUCAGGCAUUGCUUCUCUGUGUGCAUAGGAGCAAUAGAAAGCAUCCUGAAUGGAAACACUACAAACUGGCCUGGGAUGUGCCCGGCCCAGGACAGGAGGGCUCUGCAGCGGGUGAUCAAAACCGCCCAGAGCAGCGUUGGUACCCGUCUACCAAGCAUCAGUGAUAUUGGAGAGGAGAGGUGCCUGCACAGGGCCCAGAGGACACUAAGAGACAGCACCCACCCCAGCCACAGCCUGCUCACCCUGCUGCCGUCUGGCAAGCCAUACAGAGAUUAUCGAAUCAUGGAUCACCCAAUGUGUGGCUUUGGCUCCAUUUGUGUGUGGAGUUUUGAGACUCCCUACGUCCUCCGUGAAUAGAUUCUCUCCAUACACUUCGUGCACGUCAUGUCAAUUUCAAAAUUGCAUACUUUUAUAGUCUGUUUUAAGGAAUGAAAGAAAUGAUAUUUUGAACCUUUUUGAUGUAUUUUAAUUGAAAAUGUGUGUCACACAAAUACAAACACAGUACAUCAGUCUUCAGAGUCUCCUGCAACCUUGUAUUCAUAUCAACAGACUACACCGCGGUCCAAACCAAGGACUGAAAAAUUCUGCUGUAAGCCAGAACACAACCUGCUUUAUCUGUUUCUUCAUAGAUUACACGUCUGUACUGUACCAUACUCCGCUUUCAACUGUGCGACAGUUAAUAACGGUGUUAAUAACACAAAAUGUAAAACUAAGUUGGCAUUAAAGUUGCUACGUAAACACUAAAGGAUUGUUCAAGAUUGCAUUUUUACAGCUGUAAUGAUUUCCUUAAAAGGGGAGCUCCACUGAUUUUACACAUCCAAGUGUGUUUUCAAGUGUUGGGGAGUGCUACUGCGUAUGGAAUGUCUUGCAUAAAGCCUUUUGUGGCUUUAGAGGGAGCUGUUUGAAAACCGAUAAAUUGCCUCAAGUGAUGUCACUUAAGUCAGCGUCGAGAUGGAGCUUUAGUUUGAAAAUAAAACAAAUCUGGGGGUGUGUUGUUAGAAAGAAGUGUUUACCAGACCUCUGUAGCCCGCUCCUCAUCUCUGCUUGAAGCUAGAGCCUCAAGGAUACAUUGACCGCUACUAGCAUAACACACCAGCAUCUAUGACGGAACUGUCGGUGGUUGAGUUUGAUUGUGGGUAAUGUAGGCACCAGUUUUGAUAAGGAAGAAUGUGUGGAAUGAAAAAGAUGCUAUCUCUGGUACUGCUGUAUUGUUUUUAGCAUUUCUUUUCUAAAUUCUUUUUUUGCUAAAUCAGUGAAGUAUUCUUUUAACUUCAUUGUAGCCACAGCAUUGAGACAAAUGUUUCCCAUAAAGUCUUUAUUUGUGGUGGCAACAUCAUGCAAAAGCUCUGGUAAGAAUUUAAAAGGAAACUUGGAAUGAUCUGCAUAAACACUAAAAUAGAAGCAGAUAUGUCUUUAGGAUUCAGUGUAACAGCGUCCGUACGAUUGUGCUCAUCUCUGACAGGGAGAUUUAAUUCUGCUGUUAAAAUUAUGCACAACAGGUGAAAAAUUCUACGGACUGUUUAUUGGAAACCAGGAAGAAGAUAAAAAAUAAAUAUAUCUGCACCUAAAAGAAAAAUUAAAAACUUCCGUUUCUGUUGUGAUAAUUCACAUACAGCAUAUUACCAGUGAAUUCACUCAUCUCUAACAUUUAAAAAGGAGCCAUCUGAAAUAAAUGGGCUGAGCAAUGAUGUAUACUUAUACAAGCGAUACUGUCCUCAUUGGGUAAUGAAUGGGGUAUUCAAAUGAAGAAAGCCAUUUAAAGUGAUGAGAGUUCAAUGGCGUCCUCUCAACCCUUUGCUUUCAUUCUGUGUUGUUUCCUAUUAAGCAUUCUGCUCAAUACAGAGAAGUAAAAUGACACACAGAAGCAACUUAUACCGGUCACUUUUGAAGGCAUUUGAACACAAAUAUAACUCAUGAGUUUCUUUUUUUUUCAAAA